Molecule: long non-coding RNA, 737 nt
Organism: Dermacentor andersoni
Lineage: Eukaryota; Metazoa; Arthropoda; Arachnida; Ixodida; Ixodidae
Source: RefSeq, a predicted model, not a curated record
UCUCGCAAAAUGUCGAGGAGAGUGAAAUGCAUUGUUCACUCUGUCACCAAGGAGAGAGUGAAAUGUGCUUUUCACUCUCCCCUUCAGAGAGAGGGAGUGAAAAGACUCUUGCGACAAUAGAAAAGAGAGACUCUUGCGGCAAUAAAAAACAAAACGUAGCGUAAUCUUCUGCUUCAACUGUAGGUGGCUGGCCCCGAACAUGGCAAUGUAUCAUUCAUGCACGCUGAGCAAAGAACACAUCGUUUUGCUUCUAAGAGAACAGGCCGCCGCAGUUCAAAGGAACGCGUAGCGAGCGCUCUACUUUUUCACUCGGAGUGGCUCCACCGCGCGCGCGCGCGCUCAAGAUCGCGGAACAACACAGCAGCGGAGAAAGGUCACGUGAGAAAGGUGAUCCGUCCACCAUAGCGUCCACCGAGCAACAGCGAAGGCCAGCCAAGGGAGAUCGUGUGUCAGCCAUCUCGCGUCGCAACGAAAACACGACAGUCGUUCGUCAUGCCUUGGAUAUAACAACAAAUCCUCCACGGCACCCGCUUUAUAUAACGCAAGAAGGCAGCUGCAAGGACACGAGGAUGUGAAAGAGCCAGUGCAGCGCGACUUCACGUAGUGCAGAGGAGCCAAUGCCAAAAAAUCAAAAUACAUUGGCAUGUUAUUUGGACAAGAAAACUAGGACAACCCAGGACGUGCAUUUCUCAGCACCCAGUCAACUGCCAAAAGUGACUCAAACACAGGCCACCAGU